Molecule: ribosomal RNA, 253 nt
Filed under: uncultured bacterium
Lineage: Bacteria
Description: partial 16S ribosomal RNA
Rfam family: Bacterial small subunit ribosomal RNA
Source: RNAcentral
UACGUAGGGUGCGAGCGUUAAUCGGAAUUACUGGGCGUAAAGCGUGCGCAGGCGGUUCGUUGUGUCGGUGGUGAAAUCCCCGGGCUUAACCUGGGAAUGGCCAUGGAAACUGGCGAACUGGAGUGCGGCAGAGGGGGGUGGAAUUCCGCGUGUAGCAGUGAAAUGCGUAGAUAUUGGGAAGAACACCCGUGGCGAAGGCGGCUCUCUGGAACGCAACUGACGCUGAGACGCGAAAGCGUGGGGAGCAAACAGG